UGUAGUACUAGCUCGGUUAGCGGGGCGCCGUUUAUUCUGCGUUACAAGACCAGGUUCGACUCCUGGGCACCAGGA
RNAcentral lists this transfer RNA (75 nucleotides) under Rhodococcus qingshengii. RNAcentral describes it as "tRNA-Asn". Lineage: Bacteria; Bacillati; Actinomycetota; Actinomycetes; Mycobacteriales; Nocardiaceae. The record is from RNAcentral.